CCUUAAUCGAUUUUUUUUCUUCCUAGAACAUCCUGGAAGAAGGAGGAAAAUUAACUAAAGCUUCCAGGCAAUCCACGAAGGAUGAAGCAAAAUAUGACACUGGGAACCAAAGGAGUGAAAACUUACCUGACAGCAGUACCCCUGCCAGUCAAAAGCAGGAAGUAGUUGAAACCACACUGGUGCAGGCAAUCAGAAUAAAGAAUGAUUCUCCUUUCUUUCCAUCACCUGACUCAAAGCCCAAACAGGCCAAUACUGGUUGUAGAGUCUUGAAUGUGGAAAAAUUUCAUCCGUGCCUACCAGGAAGUGUUAUAGGACCAUUUUCAUAUGAAGAGAUUCCUCAGAAUGAUGUAGGCCAUUUGCCUGGUGAUGCACAUCAAACAGCAAAAGAUGAUGUCAAUGGACAUAUAGAAGCAACCAGUCGAGGAGUGGACCAUGGAGCAAGUGAAGGGACCCCAACACAUGGCCUCUCGCCCAGGACUGUGCCUAUGGAUGUGGUUCCUAUGUCUUCUCAAAUGAGUGAAUCAAGCAGCUUUCAGUGGGUUAGACCGGAGGAUACAGUAAAAGAAGAUACACCACUGUCCUGCAUGG
This is a long non-coding RNA of Marmota monax (woodchuck), 588 nucleotides long. RefSeq lists it as uncharacterized. NCBI's taxonomy places the organism in Eukaryota, Metazoa, Chordata, Mammalia, Rodentia, Sciuridae. The transcript is spliced from 6 exons. The record is from RefSeq and is a predicted model, not a curated record.